AAUGGCAGCCACUCUUUUCUCACCGUCCCCUCAACCUCUUCCAACCCCAAGACCAUCAAGCCCCACGACAGUCGUAGGACCUUUUGCCGUGAUCUCUGAGAACUUCUACCUCGAGAUGUCCACGGGACCAAGACCGAAGCCCUAAUGCAGGUUUUUCGCAAGGCCAUUGAUGUGAGGAUUAAGGAAGAGACCAAAGAUCAUUAAGGCGAGGUAGUCAAGGUCAAAUUGACCGCCCUGCAGUUGCUGGUGCCGUUCCAAAGACAUGAAAACUGACUAUGAAAACGACAUAGUUUGAGGGGAUGUAUGAUCUCGGAGGAUUGAAGAGGCGUCGACCAGUGACCAGCUAGAGAGACGCGCGUCAUCGACAACCAAAGAGGCAGAGCCAUCAACGAGAGAGAACCCAGAGAGGCAGAAAGCUUAUGACGAGAGAGAACCCAAAGAGGCAGAGAGCCAUCGACGAGAGAGAAUCCAGAGAGGAGAGAGUCGUCGACGGGUGAGAACCCAUAGAGGAGAGAGCUAUCGACAACAGAGAACAGAUCUGUCGCAGAUCUGCCGCACGGUGCUUCACAUAUCCUCCGAUUAGGCCAACUAGCCCCGACUAGUCGGUAUUUAAUCGGGUCAACGACUAAGUGACCCGCUUACCCUCUAGUCGAAGCGGCAAGGCUUGACUAGCGACUAGUCGGCUGACUAGAGAGAUUUUUGCAACAGUGAAUUUACUGGAGGUCUAGCUUUAGAAGGGCUAUAAUCCUUAUGACACCGUGGGCCGUUGGUUUCGUAUGCCUAUGCAAUGACCUCAAGCUAAAUUAAUGAAGACGGCUUGUGAGCUACAUCUGAGACUCCGGGGAAUCGAGAAGACGUUGUAAACGUAUAGUAUGUAUACACUACUAUCGAGGUGAGUAUGCGGAUGGCAGCCAACAUCCCGAGGCCUGAGCGGUUUUCCAUACAGUUGUGGUUUAUAGGUAGCGUAGGGUUUGAUUAUUAAGGAUUUCCGCAUAUUUUGUUCGUAAAACUUAUUUGAAUAUUUCUUAAAUGUUUUUUUUGGAGUUGGAUUUUACUUUGGAUUCAAUAAACGAAUUAUGGAGGUUUUUGUUUAAAAUUUUUAUGUUUGAGAUAUUUUUGUAAUUCCGCA
Long non-coding RNA from Tripterygium wilfordii, 1129 nucleotides. RefSeq lists it as uncharacterized. The transcript has 3 exons. NCBI's taxonomy places the organism in Eukaryota, Viridiplantae, Streptophyta, Magnoliopsida, Celastrales, Celastraceae. The record is from RefSeq and is a predicted model, not a curated record.